Molecule: long non-coding RNA, 283 nt
Filed under: Homo sapiens (human)
Lineage: Eukaryota; Metazoa; Chordata; Mammalia; Primates; Hominidae
Description: HSALNT0209078
Source: RNAcentral
GUAAGUCCACUUUGUUCCGGGUUGCAUUCUGUCCUAUCUGCUUCCUAUUUGCAAGCUUGCCUUUACAUCCCUGCAAUCCCUGGCACAAGUCCUUGUUUUUAUUAGCUUCUGAACAAAUUCUGGGGUCUUGAUGUUCUCUUUGAGUCUGACAUGAAAGCCCCCUAAGUUAGUUUUCUUGAGUUAGGGACUUGCUCCAAUCACUUGGGAUUUUUUUUCUAAUCUGUAACAGUUACACUAAUCGGAUUUAAAACUGACUGAACACUUUUAUUAUAGCCUGCCAGAG